AACUCUGCUGAUAAGUGACUGAUUUUCCCUGCAAGGAUUGUCUUAUUUUAAACUUCAAAUUUAGUUGCCUUACUUUAUGCAAGGCAAUUUUGAAUGGAUUUUAAAGUGAGGAUGAAGACUAUUCACACUUUUCUAAACCUAGAAGGCAGAAGAAGCCAUAUUAUAAGUACUAGGAUAAUGUGAGAAAGCCUUUCUUAGAGCCUUUCCAGCAGAAGAGGAAGGAAGGAUUGCCAACAGUCACCGCUCAGAGAAUGUCUUUUCAUGAGAGGAGCCAGCCUUGGGACAAACCUGACUCCCAGAUGAGGUCAAAGCCAAGGAAACCUCAGGGAAGUGGAGCCCGAGGCCUGAGGACACUAAAGCACUAACCUGGUUUCCACUUGGGACUUUCCUCUCAGCCACUGUGUGGUCUUGGUGAGACUACAAACCAGGCCACCUGCCCUUCUCUAACCAGUGUGGGAACAUGACCCAAGACAAGCCACCGGACUCUGUCUAGACUUUAAGCUUUAAGCAAGGUGAGAAUCAACGAUAAAUAAAAGUACAGU
Non-coding RNA from Equus caballus (horse), 542 nucleotides. The record is from RefSeq and is a predicted model, not a curated record. NCBI's taxonomy places the organism in Eukaryota, Metazoa, Chordata, Mammalia, Perissodactyla, Equidae.